RNAcentral lists this long non-coding RNA (1366 nucleotides) under Pandoravirus quercus. RNAcentral's name for it is "hypothetical ncRNA". The record is from RNAcentral.
CUUGCGUCUCCUCGGCGAAAAAGCCGCCUCAUCCCUUUUUUUUGUCUGUCCCACCUUGCAAGGGAAAAAAGAUUUCAACGUGUCCACACUAGCGCUGGGCAAUGGAGGCGCUCGCGCUGUGAGCAGGCGCAACUCAUGGAGAGGUGCCAAGGUAGGUUACCUGGCCCUCACCGUCACGAGGACUGCCGCCCAGCAUGCCCUCGAAUCGGCGGCCGUCUGGCCAUGUAAUGACGGCCUCGUGAGAGGCCUUGCCAUUGACCCAGUCGCAUUCGAUGCAGAGGCCCCCGGCGCGGGUUGUGGUCCCGUGACCGUGACGCAGGUCCGACCGGAAGCCUCCGUCAUGGACGUCGCCGUUGGCAUAGGUCAUGACGCCGUCGCCAUCAAGGCCCGCGGGCAUUGUCCAACUCUGCCAAGUGCCCUCGAAGCGCCUUCCGUCGGUCCACGUAGCCGUGCCGCGUAUCACGUUGCCGUCAUACUUUCCUACGUAGAUGGUGCCGUCUGGCAGUGUCAACGUGCCGUUGUCCAGCCACUGCGCGUUGCGGCUGCCGGGCACAGAGAUCACGGCCAUGUGCCACCAGCCGCUGUAGACCGAGCCGUCAGAGGCGAUACAGGUGUCCCAGUAACGAUGGAUGCCGUCGACCCAAGCGCCGUCGUAGCGACGCCCGUUGGACAGCACAAUGCACCCGUCGCCGUGUUGCUUGCCGUCGUGCCAGGCUCCAACAUAGUGCCAGCCUGCCGAGUCGUGACGCUCGCCGUGGCCGUUGUGGAGUCCGCCACACCAGUCACCCUCAUAGCGUGAUCCGUUGCGGUAGACGCGUGCGCCGUGCCCGUGCGGCAGGCCAAACCGCCAGUGGCCAUCGUGACGUGCAGCCGUUGCGUUGAGAGGGCCGUCGUGUUUACGCCUUGUCAACCUUUGGCCGUCGCGGUGCCGGGUCGCAAGGGCGAGACUGAGACCAUAACCGUGCGGAAGGCCGUCCAAGGUGUCGCCCCAGUAAAUGCGCCCUGGGGUCAUGACGGCGCCGACGUCGGGUCCCUUGGCCGACGCGAUGCACGCCUGCGCUUGGUAAAGCCAGCGCCAGCCUUUGGCCGCUGCAAUGAAGCCAUCGUGAAGCGGCGGCCCAAAGUGCGCCCAACAGAGAUCCUUCCACAACAAACCAUCGCCCAAAAGGUCGAGGUACCGCCGACUGGUCAACGCCAACCGCAUAAUCGUCGGCGCCGAAUCCGUGGCCCUAGCAAUCAUCGUGAGGAUCUCGCAGGGCAUGUCGUCGAGCGUCGGUCCCGCUGCAUCGCGCGCAUUCAUCCUGCUGUCGUCAAAUGUCUCGAUGUAAUGCUCCUUCUUUUUUUAUCAAUAAAAAAGAGUUGUCCC